GCUGGGUGUGGUGGCUCAUGCCUGUAAUCCCAGCACUUUGGGAGGCCGAGGUGGGAGGAUCACUUGAGCCCAGGAAUUCAAGACUAGCCUGGACAAUAAAGUGAGACCCCGUCUCUA
Pongo abelii (Sumatran orangutan) is the source of this 117-nucleotide unclassified non-coding RNA. It matches the Rfam family "Metazoan signal recognition particle RNA". Rfam says of the family: The signal recognition particle (SRP) is a universally conserved ribonucleoprotein. NCBI's taxonomy places the organism in Eukaryota, Metazoa, Chordata, Mammalia, Primates, Hominidae. The record is from Ensembl.